RNAcentral lists this ribosomal RNA (727 nucleotides) under Salmonella enterica. Its description in RNAcentral is "partial 23S ribosomal RNA". It matches the Rfam family "Bacterial large subunit ribosomal RNA", at positions 711 to 1350 of the family's 2925-position model. The record is from RNAcentral. RNAcentral also lists the same sequence under 2 other names. Lineage: Bacteria; Pseudomonadati; Pseudomonadota; Gammaproteobacteria; Enterobacterales; Enterobacteriaceae.
AGACCCGAAACCCGGUGAUCUAGCCAUGGGCAGGUUGAAGGUUGGGUAACACUAACUGGAGGACCGAACCGACUAAUGUUGAAAAAUUAGCGGAUGACCUGUGGCUGGGGGUGAAAGGCCAAUCAAACCGGGAGAUAGCUGGUUCUCCCCGAAAGCUAUUUAGGUAGCGCCUCGUGAAUUCAUCUCCGGGGGUAGAGCACUGUUUCGGCUAGGGGGCCAUCCCGGCUUACCAACCCGAUGCAAACUGCGAAUACCGGAGAAUGUUAUCACGGGAGACACACGGCGGGUGCUAACGUCCGUCGUGAAGAGGGAAACAACCCAGACCGCCAGCUAAGGUCCCAAAGUCAUGGUUAAGUGGGAAACGAUGUGGGAAGGCCCAGACAGCCAGGAUGUUGGCUUAGAAGCAGCCAUCAUUUAAAGAAAGCGUAAUAGCUCACUGGUCGAGUCGGCCUGCGCGGAAGAUGUAACGGGGCUAAACCAUGCACCGAAGCUGCGGCAGCGAACGUAUCACCCAAGACAACUUUACGGAGUUGACGAUUGACGGAGCGAAGCGACGUCAAAGCGUUCAUUAAAGUCGAGUUGGCUUAGGGAUACGUUCGUUGGGUAGGGGAGCGUUCUGUAAGCCUGUGAAGGUGUGUCGUGAGGCAUGCUGGAGGUAUCAGAAGUGCGAAUGCUGACAUAAGUAACGAUAAAGCGGGUGAAAAGCCCGCUCGCCGGAAGACCAAGG